GGUUUAAAUAAAACUUUUAAUGAAAAUCUUUAGUAAAAACUUCUUCGUUACAUAAUGCAAUGUGCAAAAUUAUUUUCAACAGUGUUUCAUAUCGUAUCAAGCUUUCAGAAUGUGCAAUGGCUCAUUUGUAUUCGCUAUUGCACACGCGCAGGCACACCCACAAGUAUCAGCCACCGAAGGCUUCAUUUUCAAGACAUCAUUGUGUCAUGCAAAGUACACACAUUUACAGUAGAAGGUUACACAAAAGCAUAUUUCUGCCAUUUCCUAGCAUCAUAGUGUGUGACGAAGAUCGAGAGCAACAUUGAUAAAGAAACAAAACAUUUACAACCCACAGAAGUUGUUGGGGAGUUACCAAGUCACAGUAACGCCUGGUGAAAGCUCAAUUAAAUGAAAGUUAAAUAAUAAAGGUACUGGACAUGUGGGCUCUGUCUUUGCCUGAUAUUUAGUAUUGGACAGAAAUCCUGCGGUCCUAUGAUUCCCAGACAAAAUAGAUGACACAUAACCUUAAAUUAAGAACUCUAACAUGUAUUCUCUCAUUUCUUUCAGAUUCUAGAACACACCUGAAAGUCAGAAGACUGACCACCCUCCAUCACUCCUACUUUCACCUCCAGUACCAGACUUUUCCGGAAGCGGACCGUGCUGCACCCGAUCGAGCUGUACCUGUGUCCUGGUGGCAGCGUGGCAGCAGAGUGGAAACUCCAGACACUCCUUGAUGUCCUUCAUCUCGUCCUCGUAGUCCUGGAUCAUCUUCUCCACCUUCUUGCGGUCCGUCUUCGAAUG
Paralichthys olivaceus (Japanese flounder) is the source of this 780-nucleotide long non-coding RNA. RefSeq lists it as uncharacterized. Lineage: Eukaryota; Metazoa; Chordata; Actinopteri; Pleuronectiformes; Paralichthyidae. The record is from RefSeq and is a predicted model, not a curated record.